UGCUCCUACGGGAGGCAGCAGUGGGGAAUAUUGCACAAUGGGGGAAACCCUGAUGCAGCAACGCCGCGUGAGUGAAGAAGUCAUUCGUGAUGUAAAGCUCUAUCAGCAGGGAAGAAAAUGACGGUACCUGAGUAAGAAGCCCCGGCUAACUACGUGCCAGCAGCCGCGGAAAUACGUAGGGGGCAAGCGUUAUCCGGAUUUACUGGGUGAAAAGGGAGCGAAGACGGCCAGACAAGUCUGAAGUGAAAAUACAGCGCUUAACGUGGGAAGUGAUUUGGAAACUGCCGGGCUAGAGUGCAGGAGGG
This 305-nucleotide ribosomal RNA is filed under the name uncultured bacterium. Its description in RNAcentral is "bacterial SSU rRNA". It matches the Rfam family "Bacterial small subunit ribosomal RNA", at positions 334 to 656 of the family's 1533-position model. The record is from RNAcentral.